CAAAAUCAGCCGCCCCCAAAUUCCCUUAUCUCUCAAACUCUCUCUAAGACCACUCGAAACCCUAGCCUCCUAUCGUCUUAUUUGACCAAACCCAUCAGCGUCCAUGGCUUCCCAGGCCAUGGACAACCUGUACUCUCUUCCAUCCACCCUAAACCAUGAUUAUUCAAGGUUUUCGAGGUUCGAUCUUCAACAGGCCUGUUCAGAUCCUCUGCCGAUCUGAGUUCGUUUGGUUUCUCCGGCUCUGUUCCGACGUGUUUGAGCUUUGAUAAGGCUUAUCCAUGGCCCAGACUUGUUCGAAGACCAGAUCUUUCCACGCCUUCUCAUUUCUAGGGUUUCUGAGAAACCCUAAAAAGCUUGUUCGAGGUUUUCCUUCCGUUGUUUUCUUAGAUCUAUAACUAAUCCGUGUUAUUUUUAAGGUUUUCAAAUGACUUCUUACAUCUUUUCCAAACUUUUCUUUCACUACUGUU
This 467-nucleotide long non-coding RNA is filed under the name Nicotiana benthamiana. RNAcentral describes it as "long non-coding RNA (NBEN_LNC018574)". The record is from RNAcentral. Lineage: Eukaryota; Viridiplantae; Streptophyta; Magnoliopsida; Solanales; Solanaceae.